AUAUACAUAUGUUGAGUUAUUGAGGUUUUCUUUUGUUGUAUAAUAAUGACUCAUAACUGUCUCUAAAGUACUUCACAGGAAAUAUACUCUGUAGAAAACUCCUAAUUGUUUGCAUAUUCCUUUAAAUUUGAAAACCCUCACAGAUGCAGUGCUAGAUGGUUAAAAAAACUGGUCCUUAUUCCUAUUCUCCAAACUCCAAGAAUGGAAAUCUGAAAAUUGAAAGCCCCACCUAAAGUCCUGACCAUGAACUUGGAAAAUGAUAUACCAUAUAGAACGAUGAUCAAACUCUAUAAAUGCACUCUUGUACUAUCUAUGCAUAUAUUCAAUAAAAUUUGCAUCGCUAAUUCUUACAUUAGCUGUUAAAAGCAUUUACUGUACAGUUUUUAUGAUCAUUAACUCAGCUGACAAAUAAUAGUUUACAUUUAUAUAUGUAUCUGUACGAAGAGCCACGUGGUGAUUGUAAUAGGAUAGGAUAUAUAAUAGCUACAACAGAAGUCUACUUUCCAUACAUAUUAUCUAUUUUGGUAAAUGUCAUUUGCAUAUGAUUCGGAAAACAUUACUGUCACAGAGUGGUAUAAAUCUGAAGUCAGGGAAAGAAUUAGACUUUGAUAAUUAAAGACCUUAUAAAACAAGGCAUAGUAGAUCAGUGGAUGUGGGCAUAGUAGACCUUAUCAGGGAACCAUUUAUUACCUGGUUACUGUAAUGCACCUUACCAUUCAUAUCACUCUACCCUCAUAAUAUAUCUACCACAAUCUAUUAUACUAUUACUCCCUCCAACCCUAAAUCUUUCUCUCUGCAUCAAAUUUUUCAACUUUCUACUUAAACUGUAUUUUUACAGCUCAAUUUUGUUUAACACCAUGCUUAAUCAUUCAUUUCAAGUAACUCAAAUUACAAAGGAUUAAAUAUAUAUUUUUUCCCAAAUUAUUUUAAAAAUGUGGAAAAUGAUGUUUGACAUUUUAGUUACUCUAUCAGGUAUUUCAAGCAAUUGGUGUUGUCAGAGGAUUUCUAAGACCAUAUUCUCGUAAGUUGUGAAAAUUUUCAAGACAAAUUUCUCUAGAAGCCCUUCUAAGAAAUAACUUGACUUCUUCCAUGACAGGAAAUGAACUUAUGCACAAGUUAGCUUAUGGGAAGAGGUAAGUAUAUUGUGAAGAAAGAUGUCCUGAGGGUGAUGCAAAAACAUGUUGUGGUUAUGCAAAAACAUGCAAAAAGAUGUCCGAUUAAUUUAUACAUCUUCCAUCAUUACAUCAUAUAUUUUUUUUAUUGAAUAGAUAAAACAUUAUUCUAAUUCACAAUCAAUUUUAAUUUUAUAAUUAUAAUAAAAAUUAUUUCAGAUAUUAAUAAAUUUUAAUUCAUAAAUUAUUAAAUAGUUUUCAUUAUAGUGGUGAAAGUUUGCAUGGUUUAAGUAACAAAAAAAAAACUCAUGUUAUGUGUUUGUCAUUUUGUUUGCCCUCUAAAUGUGGUCUCUAUUUUUGUAGAUUGUUUUGGCUAGUUUUGUUUCUGAUAGCAAGCAAUCCAAGUUUACAAAGCAAAUGGGGAAUGUAUCUGUAGCAGAAAAGAUUUCUACAAAUGGUGGCCAAAACAACUCAUUCGGCAAUUUGUUUUAAACUUUCUUAUUAUGCUUUUAGUCCACUCUUGUAGUUGAAUUUGAAAUGUAGACUUUGACAAUGAAUUCGCUCUGUCUAUUAUAGAUGUAUGAAGAAAAAUAUAGUACUAUUAAUGAUAUUUUUUUGGCAUCAAUACAUAUAAUUGCUUUUAUU
Molecule: long non-coding RNA, 1757 nt
Filed under: Vigna radiata
Lineage: Eukaryota; Viridiplantae; Streptophyta; Magnoliopsida; Fabales; Fabaceae
Description: long non-coding RNA (VRAD_LNC014367)
Source: RNAcentral